RNAcentral lists this ribosomal RNA (445 nucleotides) under uncultured Bacteroidota bacterium. Its description in RNAcentral is "SSU rRNA". It matches the Rfam family "Bacterial small subunit ribosomal RNA", at positions 242 to 684 of the family's 1533-position model. Lineage: Bacteria; Pseudomonadati; Bacteroidota. The record is from RNAcentral.
CAGCUAGUUGGUAAGGUAACGGCUUACCAAGGCGACGAUCGGUAGCUGGUGUGAGAGCACGACCAGCCACACGGGCACUGAGAUACGGGCCCGACUCCUACGGGAGGCAGCAGUAAGGAAUAUUGGUCAAUGGACGCAAGUCUGAACCAGCCAUGCCGCGUGCAGGAUGAAGGUCCUCUGGAUUGUAAACUGCUUUUAUCUGGGAAGAAACCCCCCGAUUCUUCGGGGGUUGACGGUACCAGAGGAAUAAGCACCGGCUAACUCCGUGCCAGCAGCCGCGGUAAUACGGAGGGUGCAAGCGUUAUCCGGAUUUACUGGGUUUAAAGGGUGCGUAGGCGGAUUGGAAAGUCAGUGGUGAAAUACUCCGACUUAAUCGGAGAACUGCCGUUGAUACUAUCAAUCUUGAAUGUGGUUGAGGCGGGCGGAAUGUGUCGUGUAUCUGUGA